ACUUUUCAGAUGAAUGACGUGUGAAUCCAGUCUUUCUUUUCAAAAGAACGACAAUGUUUUAUUCUAUAACUUGAAGCACUGUGGUUGCUUACUUCCAUUCCAUACAUCAUUUUCAGACAAAACAAAAAGUCCUACGAAGCCAGGAAACAAAGUUUGUUUUCACCGGUUUUCACGUGGUUUUCAUGACGAAACUAAACAAUCGAUACUUAGUCGACUAAGGUUUCAAUUCGAUUUCUUACGGAACGAGUUUCACAUUUGUUAUUUUUUUGUGAAAUUUCAGACAUGUCAGUGUCAAGUUGAGAUCAUUUUCUUGAGACGACCUUGUUAGCGUGAUAACGUGAUUGCAGUCCGCAUUGAGGAGGUGAGAAUGACGUGAAUGUUGAACCAAGUGAAUUCGCACAACGUCCCCUUUCGAGAUUUAUGUUAAUUUCGCCGGGAAUUUUAUUACGACGCAACAGAACUUGAUAUCCUUCCAGCAGCAGCAGGUGUUUAGUAUACACAGCCGACUCCCGUACAUACUAGAUAUGCCCGAUGGCGUUCGUGGCAAGUCGACAAAAGAACUCACGCCGACUGACAUCGC
Daphnia pulicaria is the source of this 580-nucleotide long non-coding RNA. RefSeq lists it as uncharacterized. Lineage: Eukaryota; Metazoa; Arthropoda; Branchiopoda; Diplostraca; Daphniidae. The record is from RefSeq and is a predicted model, not a curated record. The transcript is spliced from 2 exons.